RNAcentral lists this ribosomal RNA (402 nucleotides) under uncultured bacterium. RNAcentral's name for it is "bacterial SSU rRNA". It matches the Rfam family "Bacterial small subunit ribosomal RNA", at positions 355 to 774 of the family's 1533-position model. The record is from RNAcentral.
UGGGGAAUAUUGGACAAUGGGGGCAACCCUGAUCCAGCCAUGCCGCGUGAGUGAUGAAGGCCUUCGGGUUGUAAAGCUCUUUUGGCGGGGACGAUGAUGACGGUACCCGCAGGAUAAGCCCCGGCUAACUUCGUGACAGCAGCCGCGGUAAGACGAAGGGGGCUAGCGUUGUUCGGAAUUACUGGGCGUAAAGCGCGUGUAGGCGGUUGUCCAAGUCGGGUGUGAAAGCCUUGAGCUCAACUCAAGAAAUGCACUCGAUACUGGGCGACUAGAGGACCGGAGAGGAUAGUGGAAUUCCCAGUGUAGUGGUGAAAUACGUAGAGAUUAGGAAGAACACCAGUGGCGAAGGCGGCUAUCUGGACGGUUACUGACGCUAAGACGCGAAAGCGUGGGGAGCAAACA